RNAcentral lists this long non-coding RNA (275 nucleotides) under Elaeis guineensis (African oil palm). Its description in RNAcentral is "long non-coding RNA (EGUI_LNC061890)". The record is from RNAcentral. Lineage: Eukaryota; Viridiplantae; Streptophyta; Magnoliopsida; Arecales; Arecaceae.
UUUUUGACUAAUCAUAGUGGUUCAGUUGCAUCAAGAGAGAAGCAACCACUCUAUUGGUAUGAGAUGCUGUGGGGUGGAGAUGUGGUUGGACCUAAGAUCUGUCAAGUGAGGAUCCAAUGAUGGGUUCACUCAUGCUCAAUAGUGGGUCUGACUUAAUAAAGAAAUGAGAUCAAUAUCUGUCAGGUGAGGUCUCAAGAAUUAAAGACCAAAUCCACUAUAGUUUGCUUGAGAAGCAUUGGACAAGAAUUAUCUACUUAUUGUUGACACGUUCACCA